CCUACGUGUGGCAGCAGUGAGGAAUAUUGGUCAAUGGACGAGAGUCUGAACCAGCCAAGUAGCGUGAAGGAUGACUGCCCUAUGGGUUGUAAACAUCUUUUAUAUGGGAAUAAAAUGUUCCACGUGUGGGAUUUUGUAUGUACCAUAUGAGUAAGGAUCGGCUAACUCCGUGCCAGCAGCCGCGGUAAUACGGAGGAUCCGAGCGUUAUCCGGAUUUAUUUGGUUUAAAGGGAGCGUAGGUGGAUUGUUAAGUCAGUUGUGAAAGUUUGAGGCUCAACCGUAAAAUUGCAUUUGAAACUGGCAGUCUUGAGGACAGUAGAGGUGGGCGGAAUUCGUGGUGUAGCGGUGAAAUGCUUAGAGAUCACGAAGAAGGCCGAUGGCGAAGGCAGCUCACUGGACUGCAACUGACACUGAGGCGCGAAAGUGUGGGUAUCAAACAGGAUUAGAUACCCUAGUAGUC
RNAcentral lists this ribosomal RNA (460 nucleotides) under uncultured bacterium. RNAcentral's name for it is "partial 16S ribosomal RNA". It matches the Rfam family "Bacterial small subunit ribosomal RNA", at positions 338 to 795 of the family's 1533-position model. The record is from RNAcentral.